RNAcentral lists this long non-coding RNA (666 nucleotides) under Equus caballus (horse). RNAcentral describes it as "lncRNA (ENSECAG00000052875.1)". Lineage: Eukaryota; Metazoa; Chordata; Mammalia; Perissodactyla; Equidae. The record is from RNAcentral.
UGAAAAUAUUCCCCAUGCUUGGCAGAGGUUUUUCUAAGGUUACAAUUUUCUAUCCAGCACAGACUAGCAUGAGGAGAUACAAACAAAAGAAACAGAGUGUCUAUGUAAGGAUCAGAUGUAAAUUAAAUGAUAAAAGACUGGGGGGAAACGCCUGGAAACAACGCUGAAGAUCACUUUUGCUGCAGGAUGGAGAACAAGUUAAAGAAGGCCAGUUAGAAGGUGUGGCGAUGAUCCUGUCAAGAGAUGAUGUGGCCUAAAUCAGAGCAUGGCAAAGGGACUGAUGAAAAAUAGACUUGUGGCUGCAAGGGUGACUCUUCACAGCUCCAAACCCCACCACUGCCACCAACUGCAGAAACAACAAGAAUUCACUUUACUUCCUCUUUCUCAAAAGAACCAAAAUCCAUUCGUGCUCACCAUGUUGCAGCCACCCUUCCAUCCUCUGUUCUUGGUUCCCAGGCAGCUUAUUUCCUUCAUGUCCCUGGCGCAGACUCAACCUCUCUUACUUUUUCUCUGGAAUCUCCACUCUUUAGCAGAUGUUAACUGAAGGAGAAAGAGAAAGUAAUAUUUUUUCUCCCUUGGAAGUUUGCCUCAAAUCAAUCAAUUUGCCAUAUUUAACAUUCCAGCUUUGUGCAUAUGCUAAUAAAUCAUUAAAAUUCACGUGGAUCC